GUACGGGAGGCAGCAGUGGGGAAUUUUGGACAAUGGGGGCAACCCUGAUCCAGCCAUUCCGCGUGAGUGAAGAAGGCCUUCGGGUUGUAAAGCUCUUUCAGCAGGAACGAAACGGUGGCCACUAAUACUGGCUACUAAUGACGGUACCUGAAGAAGAAGCACCGGCUAACUACGUGCCAGCAGCCGCGGUAAUACGUAGGGUGCGAGCGUUAAUCGGAAUUACUGGGCGUAAAGCGUGCGCAGGCGGUUCCAUAAGACAGAUGUGAAAUCCCCGGGCUUAACCUGGGAACUGCGUUUGUGACUGUGGGACUCGAGUGUGGCAGAGGGGGGUGGAAUUCCACGUGUAGCAGUGAAAUGCGUAGAGAUGUGGAGGAACACCGAUGGCGAAGGCAGCCCCCUGGGUCAACACUGACGCUCAUGCACGAAAGCGUGGGGAGCAAACAGGAUUAGAUACCCCGGU
This 460-nucleotide ribosomal RNA is filed under the name uncultured bacterium. RNAcentral's name for it is "bacterial SSU rRNA". It matches the Rfam family "Bacterial small subunit ribosomal RNA", at positions 339 to 791 of the family's 1533-position model. The record is from RNAcentral.